GCGUGCCAGAUUCCUUACCCAUCAGAUGUGAACAUUGGUCUGAGUGGCUAUAAAGGAGCAAAAGUAAAACUGUGAUGGACAUGAAUUCUUUUGUUUCAUACAAGUUGGUUUCAGACAGAC
RNAcentral lists this small nucleolar RNA (120 nucleotides) under Echinops telfairi (small Madagascar hedgehog). Its description in RNAcentral is "Small nucleolar RNA SNORA61 (ENSETEG00000025264.1)". The record is from RNAcentral. Lineage: Eukaryota; Metazoa; Chordata; Mammalia; Afrosoricida; Tenrecidae.